This 5115-nucleotide long non-coding RNA is filed under the name Musa acuminata (dwarf banana). Its description in RNAcentral is "long non-coding RNA (MACU_LNC008535)". Lineage: Eukaryota; Viridiplantae; Streptophyta; Magnoliopsida; Zingiberales; Musaceae. The record is from RNAcentral.
UUGAGAGGGACAUUCAUGUAAAAAUGUUAGGAAUCUAGCUAGGAGAGUCCUAAUUGAGAGGGACAUUCAUGUAGGAGGUUUUUUCUUAGAGAAGAAUUAGGAGUUGUAAGGGAAUAGGAGUCUUGAGUAGGAGUCAUAUUAUGAGUUGGUUAGAAGUAAGAGUCUUAAGUAGGAGUCCUAUUUGGAGUUAAGGUUUAGAAGCCCUAUAAAUAGCCAUGUAUUCCUUCUCUUUUCAUAAGCAAUAGAUGAAUCUUUUCUAUAGCUUUUGAGCAGCAACUUGGAGAGAGGAACCCCUAUAGAGUUACAAGGAGGCCGAUCCCCUAAAGAGAUCAACCCCAAGUUUAGAAUCUGCAAGGGUUCUAUCACCUAGUAUUAGAGUAGUGUUUUUGGCAUCUCGCUGCCCUUCCACUACCAUCCAUCAGCCCUCCACAACCACCCAAAGCAAUUCCCACAAUUGCUUAAAAGAUCGUCGUCGAAUUCCGCCAUCAUCUCCACCAUCGCGGAUCAUCCUUUGAUCUCCCCGUGAAUUGUAACAGGUUCUGGUUUCCUACCGUACUGCUGCUGCAAUUUAGUUAUCCUUAUUCGAAAAUCCAAAAAAAAAAAUGUUCCUAUAUUGCUGCAUAAACCUUUCGUCACAAAGUUUUCAUCUCAACGACGAAAGAUACAUUGCAGAAUUCCAACCGCAUAGUACCAUCUGUUUAAUCUUGCUACUAUGCUUUUUCUAUCCAAAUUUCUAUGAAAUUUUUAUGACAUCUUUGACACUUCCUAACAGCAGAUUUUCCUUUGGUUUUUUCAAAAAAUUCUCAAUAUAAACUAUUGAUCUUUUACGUCAAAUCAGCUAUACUUGAAAAUCUGCACUGUAAAAUUUCAACCGCAGAGCACUGUUUGUUUGAUCUUGAUACUACAUUGUUUCUAUCCAAAUCUUUACGAAAUUUUUAUGAUAGCUUUGACACUUCCUAACAGUGGAUUUCCCUUUGGUUUCAUCAAAAUAUUCUCAAUAUAAACCACUGAUCUUUUACGUCCAAUCCGCUAUACCUAAAAAUCGGUGCUGCAGAAAAUUUCAGCCGCAUAUUGUUGCCUUAACCCAUCUAUUUGCAAUCUUUUUUGAAUGAAAUUUUUUAUACACUUCAUAGAUCAUCUUGGCUUCCAUCUAAGAUUAAUCUAUUAAGAAAUUCAUCUCUAAAAAUUAUUUUAUAUUGCUGCAAAUUUUCGUCGUAACCCGUUGAAAUUUUUCGACGAGAAUUCUGUAAUCGCAACUUGCACCAAUUUCCUUGCUGUUAUACUGCCGAAAUUUUUUUGAUUAAAUUAGAUAUCCUUGCUUUCAUAUAAACUGUGAUUUUUCUAUUAAUUCCCUCCUCAAUUCUCUCAAGUUUUUGGUGGAAAUUAAGUCGAGAAGCCAUUGUUUCUUCGACGACAAUUCUACUUUUACAAGACAACACAUACUUGCUGCAACUUCCACUGAUUUCUAUCAAACCUUUGCUACCAUCUACCACAGAUCCAAAACAUUCAUCCAUAGCCCUAAAACUCUACGAAACCACACCCUCAAACUGCACCCAAAACAGCCACAAAACAAGCAUAAAUCGUAGCCUACAUCCAUCGAUCCACCAAUCCUUUCGACCAUCACUUCUCUCAACUAUACAUGCCUUUAACCUGACAGCAAAAGAGAGAUCUUAACAUCAUAGAUUUGGAGGCAUAUACUAUGGCAUCUAAGGAGGCAAUCAAUGCUAAAUUCGAAGCCUUGGAGGUGCGAACAUAGGAUAAGAUUCGGACGCUCUUUACCGAACUCAGAUUGGGCCAACCACUAAGCCCGAAAAAAUCAUAUCACGGAGAGAACUUUGCCCAAUCGCACCAAGCUCGAAGAGAUGAGUUCCAAGGGAGGGGAGGCUCUAUGACUGAACCCAACUAUCCAUGCAUGAGAGUGGACUUCCCUAGAUGGGAAGAAGGAGACCCGAUUGGUUGGAUCUCGCGCGCGGAGCGAUAUUUUCAGUACCACAAAAUCGCGGAUGCAUCUAUGGUGAAAAUUACAGCUAUACAUCUUAAAGGGUAUGCUAUACAGUGGUUUGACUGGUUUGAACAUACUUAUGGAGUCCUUUCAUGGCAACAAUUCAAAGAAAGACUGCUGAUCCGCUUCAGACCAACCGAUUACAAGAAUAUUGAUGGACAACUAGCAAAGAUCCGACAAACUUCCACCAUUCAGGAGUACCAAACCAGGUUUGAAAGGUUAUCUAAUCAAACUCAUGAUUGGUCUCAAAAAUAGCUAUUGAGGACCUUCAUUGAGGGCUUGAAGCCGGAGAUCCGAGGAGAAGUUAAAGCGCAACAAUCGUAUACGCUUAUGACAGCCAUCUCUUUCGCACAACAUCAAGAGGAGCAAUUGAACCAUGAAGUUCAGAGGACUAGGGUCGCUCCUCAACUAGUAAUAUUGAAGCUCUCAGCCCCCCCUACUAUUAACCAAGUCCCUACACCAAAGAGGUUAAAAAGAGAAGAGCUUCGGGAGCGAUAUACAAAGGGGUUAUGUUGGCAUUGUGACGAGCCGUGGAGUCGUGAGCAUCGCUGUAGUAAAGGAGGACUUCUUAUGAUUGAACCGAUAGAAGAAGAGGUCAUUGAACAUUCAAAAGAGAGCCUUGAACAUGAAGAAAAAGAUGUAGAAGAAGAGCCACAACCGACCGAAGUUACGGUACAUACACUAGCUAGCUACUCAAACCCGCAAACAAUGAAAGUUGGAGGCCUUCUCAAACAACAACCGAUCACUGUUCUCAUCGACACGGGCAACACUAAUAACUUCCUAAAUAGUAAGGUUGCUAUCCAUAUAAACUUACCUAUUGAGAAUUGUAGCAGGUUUGUCGUUAAGGUCGCCAACGGACGGAUUUUGAAGUGUGAUCAUAGGUGCCCGCAGGUGAAACUAUUGCUGCAGGACCAAGAGAUAAUUGCAGAUUUCUUCCUCCUCCCUCUUGAUGAUCAUGAGGCCAUACUCAGAAUUAAAUGGUUGAUGACAUUAGGUGAUAUUUCUUGGAAUUUUAUGCAACUAUUUAUAAAAUUUUACAGUAAGGAGAAACAAGUGAUACUGCAUGGGAAACGUGAGGGCGAUGUAACGAUGAUUUGCACACAACAAAUGGAGAAGGUUUUGCAUAAAGCAUGCAGGGGCUUUUUAGUACAACUCGAGCAGCAAAUUAAAGGAGAGCCAAUAGAAUUUGAAGUUCCAAACCUAUUUCCUUUGCUUGCUGAAUUUUCAGAUAUAUUUGACGAGCCGCAAAACCUACCUCUUAGUCGUCGGCAUGAUCAUUGUAUAAUGAUUUUCCAGUCAAAUCUCCAGGAAAUACUCAGCCAUAUCGGUAUCCACAUCUCCAAAAUGAUGAAAUAGAAAGGAUUUUAAAAGAGAUGCUUGAAACAGGAGUUAUUCGGCCAAGUUGCAACCUCUACUUUUCACCGGUGCUACUUGUACACAAGAAGGACGGAACAUGGCGAAUAUGCGUUGAUUGCCGAGCUCUCAAUGGCAUAACCAUCAAGAACAAAUACCUUAUUCCAAUAGCAGAUGAAUUGCUAGAUGAAAGGUGAAAUAUCUUGGGCAUAUCAUAUCAAAGGAAGGUGUGAUGGUGGACCCCUUCAAAAUUGAAGCAAUGCAAAACUGGCCUACCCCGAGGAACAUAAAAUUGCUACAUUGCUUUUUGGGUUUAACAGGCUACUACCGUAAGUUCGUGAAAAACUAUGGAAAGAUCAGUGCACCACUUACUUCCUUACUGGAAAAAGAUGUCUUCCAAUGGUCGGACAGAGCCUCCACUACCUUUGAUAAACUUAAGGCAACCAUAACGACGACGCUGGUGCUAGCGCUACCAGAUUUCAACCGACCCUUCAUCAUUAAGGCUGAUGCAUCUAGAGACAGAAUGGGAGACGUUCUCAUGCAAGAUGGUCGACCACUCACAUACAUUAGCAAGACAUUGUCUCCCCCCUAUCAAAACAUGUUAACAUAUGAUAAGGAGAUGCUCGCCAUUGUGCAUGCAGCAACGAGGUGGAGAUCGUACUUGAUCAGGCGAUACUUUCAAAUCAAGACCGACCAUAAAAGCCUAAAAUAUCUCUUGGAGCAGAAGAUAUCUUCCCCCGAGCAGCAAAAAUGGGUAACAAAACUUCUUGGAUUUGAUUAUGAAAUAACUUACAAAAGGUGGAAAGAGAAUGUUGUUGCAGAUGCGCUUUCGCAGCUACCUGAGCAAGCUGAAUUUUCGGUCGUUUUACUUCUAACCAGCGACUUCCUUGAGGAUAUUAAGAUGGAAUGGCAGUAAGAUUCGGAGACCAAUAAGAUACAAAAAAAAUUAGAGGAAGCACCAAGCUUCGUGGCUCAUUACAAUCGGGACUCAAAAGAAUUAUGCUAUAAGGGACGCAUUGUGCUUGUGACAAAUUCUACUUGUUUCUUCAAGAGCAGAUUUUGGACAAAGUUAUUCCAUAUGUAUGGUACUAAAUUGAAAAGAAGUACGACAUAUCACCCACAAACCAACAGCCAGCCGGAAGUUUUAAACAGGUGCUUGGAGACAGCCCAAAGCCACCCACCAAAUAUGACUACCCAAAGAGAACUCCAGACACAGCCAAGUGCCAUUAUUGAUCAACGGAUCGUGACUCGACGACGACGACCCACUAAUGAAGUGCUAAUACAGUGGGCGAACCUAUCAAUAGAAGAUGCCACUUGGGAGAACUAUUACGACUUGAAGAUCAAAUUCCCAGAAUUCACGAAUCAUCAGCCUCGAGGACAAGGCUGAUUUGAAGAGGGCGGGUUUGUUAGGACUCUAGCUUGGAGAGUCCUAAUUAAGAGGGACAUUCAUGUAAAAAUGUUAGGACUCUAGCUAGGAGAGUCCUAAUUGAGAGGGACAUUCUGUUAGGACUCUAGCUAGGAGAGUCCUAAUUGAGAGGGGCAUUCAUAUAGGAGGUUUUUUCUUAGAGAAGAAUUAGGAGUUGUAAGGGAAUAGGAGUCUUGAGUAGGAGUUCUAUUAGGAGUUGGUUAGAAGUAAGAGUCUUAAGUAGGAGUCCUAUUAGGAGUUAGGGUUUAGAAGCCCUAUAAAUAGCCAUGUAUUCCUUCUCUUUUUAUAAGCAAUAAAUGAAUAUUUUCUGCAGCCUUUGAGCAGCAACUUGGAG